Molecule: non-coding RNA, 486 nt
Filed under: delta proteobacterium NaphS2
Lineage: Bacteria; Deltaproteobacteria
Description: Bacterial small subunit ribosomal RNA
Rfam family: Bacterial small subunit ribosomal RNA
Source: Rfam by way of RNAcentral
UGUCGUCAGCUCGUGUCGUGAGAUGUUGGGUUAAGUCCCGCAACGAGCGUAACCCUUGUCUUUAGUUGCCAUUAUUAAGUUAGGCACUCUAAAGAGACUGCCUCGGUUAACGGGGAGGAAGGUGGGGAUGACGUCAAGUCCUCAUGGCCUUUAUAUCCAGGGCUACACACGUGCUACAAUGGGCUGUACAAAGGGUUGCUAUCCCGCGAGGGGGCGCUAAUCCCAAAAAGCAGUUCUCAGUUCGGAUUGAAGUCUGCAACUCGACUUCAUGAAGGUGGAAUCGCUAGUAAUCGUGGAUCAGCAUGCCACGGUGAAUACGUUCCCGGGCCUUGUACACACCGCCCGUCACACCACGAAAGUCGACUGUACCAGAAGUUGCUGGGCUAACCUUUUCGGAGGAGGCAGGUACCUAAGGUACGGCCGGUAAUUGGGGUGAAGUCGUAACAAGGUAGCCGUAGGGGAACCUGCGGCUGGAUCACCUCCUUU